UGGGGAAUAUUGGACAAUGGGGGGAACCCUGAUCCAGCCAUGCCGCGUGUGUGAAGAAGGCCUUAUGGUUGUAAAGCACUUUAAGCGAGGAGGAGGGUACUGGUAUUAAUACUACCAGCUACUGGACGUUACUCGCAGAAUAAGCACCGGCUAACUCUGUGCCAGCAGCCGCGGUAAUACAGAGGGUGCGAGCGUUAAUCGGAUUUACUGGGCGUAAAGCGUGCGUAGGCGGCUAAUUGAGUCGGAUGUGAAAUCCCCGAGCUUAACCUGGGAAUUGCAUUCGAUACUGGUUAGCUAGAGUGUGGGAGAGGAUGGUAGAAUUCCAGGUGUAGCGGUGAAAUGCGUAGAGAUCUGGAGGAAUACCGAUGGCGAAGGCAGCCAUCUGGCCUAACACUGACGCUGAGGUACGAAAGCAUGGGGAGCAAACAGG
RNAcentral lists this ribosomal RNA (430 nucleotides) under Pseudomonadota bacterium. RNAcentral's name for it is "Proteobacteria bacterium partial 16S ribosomal RNA". It matches the Rfam family "Bacterial small subunit ribosomal RNA", at positions 355 to 776 of the family's 1533-position model. The record is from RNAcentral. Lineage: Bacteria; Pseudomonadati; Pseudomonadota.